RNAcentral lists this ribosomal RNA (783 nucleotides) under Triticum aestivum (bread wheat). Its description in RNAcentral is "partial small subunit ribosomal RNA". Lineage: Eukaryota; Viridiplantae; Streptophyta; Magnoliopsida; Poales; Poaceae. The record is from RNAcentral.
AUGCCAAGCCCUCGUGCUCCUCCAUCGGCAGCCACAGGGGGGACUCCGGCGCACCUUCCCUUCCUCUCUUCCUCUCCUUCCUUCUCCCUCACACCCUCUCUCUCUGUUCUCCCGCAGGUACCCGCCAUGGCCAUCAUGGACAGCAGCCAUGCGGCAGGAGCUCGCCACCAAAGUCCCCCGAGCACUGUCCGCCCCGAAUCUGGCUGGGAACCAGACGAGGCCGAGCCCUCACGCCCAGAUCCGCUGCAGCAAUCUCGAAGUUCGCCGCCGCCACCUCGGGCGGUUCAACUGACACACCCCUCUUCUGGAACCACCCGCCAGAACGACCAUCGGCCCUCCCUAAUCCUGCUGCAGAUUUGUGCACAUAAAGUUCAAAAAUAUAACGGAGAGAAGGAGCAUGUAUGCAUGUGUGUGGUGGUGAGGUUGAGGAUUCAGAAAACGUGUGUGGUGAUGGUGAGGUUCAGAAGAACAUGUGUGUGGUGGAGAAAUUCACUAGCUUUUUUAAUCGGGAGACAAGUAAUAGCUUAUUUUGUACAAACACAAGACAGAAAAAUGUAUGCAUCUUUUUGUAAGAGAAAUAAACAAAUGAUCAAGUAUCGCCCCAUGAAAGUUCAUGCAUAUGAGAAAAGGAAAUUCGGAAGGUCGGGGGUGACGAACAGAGAAGUUCAGGCAUCAGUGUUGAGGAAGGUCAGGAGAAAAGAACUCAACCCACUGAGGUGUCUCACAUCAACUAUACAUACUCAACGGCCUCUCUGUUCAUCAAGAAAAUUUGAGUUUCCUUAA